RNAcentral lists this ribosomal RNA (578 nucleotides) under uncultured bacterium. Its description in RNAcentral is "partial 16S ribosomal RNA". It matches the Rfam family "Bacterial small subunit ribosomal RNA", at positions 355 to 927 of the family's 1533-position model. The record is from RNAcentral.
UGGGGAAUAUUGCACAAUGGGCGCAAGCCUGAUGCAGCCAUGCCGCGUGUGUGAAGAAGGCCUUCGGGUUGUAAAGCACUUUCAGCGAGGAGGAAGGUGGUGAACUUAAUACGUUCAUCAAUUGACGUUACUCGCAGAAGAAGCACCGGCUAACUCCGUGCCAGCAGCCGCGGUAAUACGGAGGGUGCAAGCGUUAAUCGGAAUUACUGGGCGUAAAGCGCACGCAGGCGGUUUGUUAAGUCAGAUGUGAAAUCCCCGGGCUCAACCUGGGAACUGCAUUUGAAACUGGCAAGCUAGAGUCUCGUAGAGGGGGGUAGAAUUCCAGGUGUAGCGGUGAAAUGCGUAGAGAUCUGGAGGAGUACCGGUGGCGAAGGCGGCCCCCUGGANGAAGACUGACGCUCAGGUGCGAAAGCGUGGGGAGCAAACAGAUUAGNUACCCUGGUAGUCCACGCUGUAAACGAUGUCGAUUUUGGAGGUUGUGCCCCUGAGGCGNGGNUUCCGGAGCUAACGGUUAAAUUGACCGCCNGGGGAGUANGGCCCAAGGUUAAAACUUAAAUGAAUUGCGGGUCUAGCGUUCC